Long non-coding RNA from Manis javanica (Malayan pangolin), 1293 nucleotides. RefSeq lists it as uncharacterized. Lineage: Eukaryota; Metazoa; Chordata; Mammalia; Pholidota; Manidae. The record is from RefSeq and is a predicted model, not a curated record.
UCUUGGUUUUUCUUGUCCUCAGGGUGCCUCUCUUCCUAAGGUGCCAUAUAAUUUGCUUAUUUAUCAUGUUCAUCAUUUGUUGUCUGUCUCCCCCUGAGAACAGGGGUCCACAGGGCAUCACUGCAUCACCAGUCCCUAGAACUGGGUCUGGCAUAUGUAGUAGGUGCUCAACAAAUGGUCAUUGAAUGACCGAAUGAGGCACAGGUAAAGGCAGGGACCACCUUUUGUGUUAAGGACUCUGCUGACGAGUGCGGUGGGCGCCAGUGAGGUUUGGCAGGGCAGGGGCGGCUCAUGGAUGGCCAGGCUGCAUGGGGAGGCACAGCGGGGUCCUUCCAGCUUCCCUUCCUGCAGGACUGAGGGGAAGAGGCAGCUGGAGCAGGCCCCAGGCACGGCCUGACUGACGCAGAGAUGGAUGGGGUGGGCCGGGACCCAGGAGGAAGUGGGCCCGCAGUCCAGCCUUUUAACGCGGCUGAGAUUUAUGGAGCCAUCGAAAGUGCUCACCGGGGCUGUCACUCUGCUAAUGUGAUUGGAACAAGAGAACUAGGAGGAUUCCCAGAAGAGGGGGCAUUUGACUUGGACCCUGAAGGCUGAGUAGGAGUUUGGCAGGAACAGUGGGAUGGAGAGGCCCACCAGAUGGAGGACCCAGUGUCUGAGGACUGAAAUGUUUACUCGGCGAUAAGGAGCCGGCUUUCUCGUGGAGAUUUGUGCGCUCUUUUUCAAUUACCCCUCGUCUUUCUCUGCCACUUUUGCACUAAAGGGAUAAUAAAUGUAUCGGAGCAUUUCAAUUAUUCAUCUAAAUCAUGACUUCGCCUGCCACGGCCAGCUUUAGUGACAGAUUAAUUCAGGGCCGCCUUCCUCUGCUUCGUGGCCGCCAUCUCUGCCCCUGCCUGGCCAGCUUCCCAAAGGGCUGGCCUGAGGGGUGGCCACGCUGGGGUCAGGCAGGGCCCUGGCAGGCACAGGCAGGCAGGGCAGCAUGGAGCCUGUCCCCACACACGCACUCACUGAUGGGGCACUCCUGCCCAUCCAGAGGCCAGCAGCCCCACCCAAACCUACCAGUGGGGGUGCCACUCCUUGCCCUCCUGCUUUGUUGGCUCUGCACAGCCCCUGCUUCCUGCCCACGUGGCUGGUAUGUCUCGUACACCUGGUGUCCCAGGUUGCUCACUCCUGAGAGAAGCCAGGGUGGCUCAGGUUCUGCCACAGCCCUCUUCUGGCACAGGGCCUUUGCACAUGCUUCUCCUGUGCCCAAGGGCUCCUCUGCCCUCCCACCACAACCUUCCCUCCUACCUGUCUCGA